UACAGAGGGUGCAAGCGUUAAUCGGAAUUACUGGGCGUAAAGCGUGCGUAGACGGUUAUUUAAGUCAGGUGUGAAAGCCCCGGGCUCAACCUGGGAAUUGCAUUUGAGACUGAAUAGCUAGGGUGCGGAAGAGGGAAGCGGAAUUUCCGGUGUAGCGGUGAAAUGCGUAGAUAUCGGAAGGAACACCAGUGGCGAAGGCGGCGACCUGGGUAGAUACUGACGCUGAGGUGCGAAAGCGUGGGGAGCAAACAGG
RNAcentral lists this ribosomal RNA (253 nucleotides) under uncultured bacterium. RNAcentral's name for it is "partial 16S ribosomal RNA". It matches the Rfam family "Bacterial small subunit ribosomal RNA", at positions 524 to 776 of the family's 1533-position model. The record is from RNAcentral.